GCUUAGCAUUGCUUACCUAUGGCUAAUGUAAAUAACAGAUGGCCAACUCCUCCCAGUUGUGUUAGCCCAUGGGGAAUACCGUGAGCUACAUAUGACAGCCAACCACACUUCCUAGCAGAAGAAACAGUGACCUUGGCUGAGUUUAUUCAAGCAGGAGGUGCUGAGAGAUAUCGAUGAAACUGUGGAAGUCUCUUUGUCUUAUGUUCGUCAUCAUCAGAAUGCACUGAUUUUCUAGCCUAUUUGAUAUAUUUCUUUUAUCUGUUAUAGCUGACAAACUUACUGAUUUCUUACUAAUAAACCAUUACAUUAA
This 310-nucleotide long non-coding RNA is filed under the name Rattus norvegicus (Norway rat). Its description in RNAcentral is "long non-coding RNA NONRATT023140". The record is from RNAcentral. Lineage: Eukaryota; Metazoa; Chordata; Mammalia; Rodentia; Muridae.